This 492-nucleotide ribosomal RNA is filed under the name uncultured bacterium. Its description in RNAcentral is "partial 16S ribosomal RNA". It matches the Rfam family "Bacterial small subunit ribosomal RNA", at positions 29 to 507 of the family's 1533-position model. The record is from RNAcentral.
AGUGAACGCUGGCGGUAGGCCUAACACAUGCAAGUCGAACGGCAGCACAGUAAGAGCUUGCUCUUACGGGUGGCGAGUGGCGGACGGGUGAGGAAUACAUCGGAAUCUACUUUUUCGUGGGGGAUAACGUAGGGAAACUUACGCUAAUACCGCAUACGACCUACGGGUGAAAGCAAGGGAUCUUCGGACCUUGCGCGACUGAAUGAGCCGGUGUCGGAUUAGCUAGUUGGCGUGGUAAAGGCCCACCAAGGCGACGAUCCGUAGCUGGUCUGAGAGGAUGAUCAGCCACACUGGAACUGAGACACGGUCCAGACUCCUACGGGAGGCAGCAGUGGGGAAUAUUGGACAAUGGGCGCAAGCCUGAUCCAGCCAUACCGCGUGAGUGAAGAAGGCCUUCGGAUUGUAAAGCCCUUUUGUUGGGAAAGAAAAGCAGCAGGUUAAUACCCCGCUGUUCUGACGGUACCCAAAGAAUAAGCACCGGCUAACUUCGUG